AUAGGCAAGUGAUGCCAUAGUAAGGUAUACGGGUAAAUAUUAGGAUAUUUUUGGCAUCUCGUCUUCUUGGGUACAGAGCUACAGAGGCCAGUUUUCGAGCUCUAACCGGAAGUUCAUGCAUAUAUAUAGGCAACUAAGGCAAGUGAUGCCAUAGUAAGGUAUACGGGUAAAUAUUAGGAUAUUUUUGGCAUCUCGUCUUCUUGGGUUUCAUAUGACGUCACCAAAGUGAUUGGGGGGG
Paramuricea clavata is the source of this 238-nucleotide non-coding RNA. Lineage: Eukaryota; Metazoa; Cnidaria; Anthozoa; Malacalcyonacea; Plexauridae. The record is from the annotation of a GenBank genome assembly.